This 742-nucleotide ribosomal RNA is filed under the name uncultured bacterium. Its description in RNAcentral is "bacterial SSU rRNA". It matches the Rfam family "Bacterial small subunit ribosomal RNA", at positions 57 to 791 of the family's 1533-position model. The record is from RNAcentral.
GCAGUCGAGCGGAACGAUGGGAGCUUGCUCCCAGGCGUCGAGCGGCGAACGGGUGAGUAACGCGUAGGAAUCUGCCUGGUAGAGGGGGAUAGCUCGGGGAAACUCGAAUUAAUACCGCAUACGCCCUACGGGGGAAAGCAGGGGAUCUUCGGACCUUGCGCUAUCAGAUGAGCCUGCGUCGGAUUAGCUAGUUGGUGGGGUAAAGGCCCACCAAGGCGACGAUCCGUAACUGGUCUGAGAGGAUGAUCAGUCACACCGGAACUGAGACACGGUCCGGACUCCUACGGGAGGCAGCAGUGGGGAAUAUUGGACAAUGGGGGCAACCCUGAUCCAGCCAUGCCGCGUGUGUGAAGAAGGCCUUCGGGUUGUAAAGCACUUUAAGCAGGGAGGAAAGGGGCAGGACUAAUAAUCCUGUCAGUUGACGUUACCUGCAGAAUAAGCACCGGCUAACUUCGUGCCAGCAGCCGCGGUAAUACGAAGGGUGCAAGCGUUAAUCGGAAUUACUGGGCGUAAAGCGCGCGUAGGCGGUUUGAUUAGUUGGAUGUGAAAGCCCAGGGCUCAACCUUGGAACUGCAUCCAAUACUGUCAGGCUAGAGUACGGGAGAGGGGGGUAGAAUUCCACGUGUAGCGGUGAAAUGCGUAGAGAUGUGGAGGAAUACCGGUGGCGAAAGCCGGCCCCCUGGAUCGAUACUGACGCUGAGUGCGAAAGCGGUGGGGGAGCAAACAGAUUAGAUACCCUGGU